RNAcentral lists this ribosomal RNA (330 nucleotides) under Escherichia coli. RNAcentral's name for it is "partial 23S ribosomal RNA". It matches the Rfam family "Bacterial large subunit ribosomal RNA", at positions 609 to 940 of the family's 2925-position model. Lineage: Bacteria; Pseudomonadati; Pseudomonadota; Gammaproteobacteria; Enterobacterales; Enterobacteriaceae. The record is from RNAcentral.
UGUAUAAUGGGUCAGCGACUUAUAUUCUGUAGCAAGGUUAACCGAAUAGGGGAGCCGAAGGGAAACCGAGUCUUAACUGGGCGUUAAGUUGCAGGGUAUAGACCCGAAACCCGGUGAUCUAGCCAUGGGCAGGUUGAAGGUUGGGUAACACUAACUGGAGGACCGAACCGACUAAUGUUGAAAAAUUAGCGGAUGACUUGUGGCUGGGGGUGAAAGGCCAAUCAAACCGGGAGAUAGCUGGUUCUCCCCGAAAGCUAUUUAGGUAGCGCCUCGUGAAUUCAUCUCCGGGGGUAGAGCACUGUUUCGGCAAGGGGGUCAUCCCGACUUACC